AGAGUUUGAUCCUGGCUCAGGAUGAACGCUAGCGGCAGGCUUAAUACAUGCAAGUCGAACGGUAAGGUCUCUUCGGAGAUACACGAGUGGCGCACGGGUGCGUAACGCGUAUGCAACCUACCUUUAACUGGGAAAUAGCCCCGAGAAAUCGGGAUUAAUGUCCCAUAUUAUUCUGAGAAUGCAUAUUCUUAGAAUGAAAGCUCCGGCGGUUAUUGAUGGGCAUGCGUGACAUUAGCUAGUUGGUGAGGUAACGGCUCACCAAGGCUACGAUGUCUAGGGGUCCUGAGAGGGUUAACCCCCACACUGGUACUGAGACACGGACCAGACUCCUACGGGAGGCAGCAGUAAGGAAUAUUGGGCAAUGGACGCAAGUCUGACCCAGCCAUGCCGCGUGAAGGAUGAAUGUCCUAUGGAUUGUAAACUUCUUUUAUGCAGGAAAAAUAUCCCGGUCGUGAACCGGGACUGAUGGUACUGUAUGAAUAAGCAUCGGCUAACUCCGUGCCAGCAGCCGCGGUAAUACGGAGGAUGCAAGCGUUAUCCGGAUUCAUUGGGUUUAAAGGGUGCGCAGGCGGAAUUAUAAGUCAGUGGUGAAAUCUCCCGGCUCAACCGGGAAACUGCCAUUGAUACUGUUAUUCUUGAGUACAGUUGAAGUGGGCGGAAUGUGUCAUGUAGCGGUGAAAUGCUUAGAUAUGACACAGAACACCGAUAGCGAAGGCAGCUCACUAAGCUGUAACUGACGCUCAUGCACGAAAGCGUGGGGAUCAAACAGGAUUAGAUACCCUGGUAGUCC
RNAcentral lists this ribosomal RNA (790 nucleotides) under uncultured bacterium. RNAcentral describes it as "bacterial SSU rRNA". It matches the Rfam family "Bacterial small subunit ribosomal RNA", at positions 8 to 796 of the family's 1533-position model. The record is from RNAcentral.